This 617-nucleotide ribosomal RNA is filed under the name Staphylococcus aureus. Its description in RNAcentral is "bacterial SSU rRNA". It matches the Rfam family "Bacterial small subunit ribosomal RNA", at positions 1 to 600 of the family's 1533-position model. The record is from RNAcentral. Lineage: Bacteria; Bacillati; Bacillota; Bacilli; Caryophanales; Staphylococcaceae.
UUUAUGGAGAGUUUGAUCCUGGCUCAGGAUGAACGCUGGCGGCGUGCCUAAUACAUGCAAGUCGAGCGAACGGACGAGAAGCUUGCUUCUCUGAUGUUAGCGGCGGACGGGUGAGUAACACGUGGAUAACCUACCUAUAAGACUGGGAUAACUUCGGGAAACCGGAGCUAAUACCGGAUAAUAUUUUGAACCGCAUGGUUCAAAAGUGAAAGACGGUCUUGCUGUCACUUAUAGAUGGAUCCGCGCUGCAUUAGCUAGUUGGUAAGGUAACGGCUUACCAAAGCAACGAUGCAUAGCCGACCUGAGAGGGUGAUCGGCCACACUGGAACUGAGACACGGUCCAGACUCCUACGGGAGGCAGCAGUAGGGAAUCUUCCGCAAUGGGCGAAAGCCUGACGGAGCAACGCCGCGUGAGUGAUGAAGGUCUUCGGAUCGUAAAACUCUGUUAUUAGGGAAGAACAUAUGUGUAAGUAACUGUGCACAUCUUGACGGUACCUAAUCAGAAAGCCACGGCUAACUACGUGCCAGCAGCCGCGGUAAUACGUAGGUGGCAAGCGUUAUCCGGAAUUAUUGGGCGUAAAGCGCGCGUAGGCGGUUUUUUAAGUCUGAUGUGAAAG